CCAGACUCCUACGGGAGGCAGCAGUGGGGAAUAUUGCACAAUGGGGGGAACCCUGAUGCAGCAACGCCGCGUGGGUGAAGAAGUACUCCGGUAUGUAAAGCCCUGUCAGCAGGGAAGAAAAUGACGGUACCUGACCAAGAAGCCCCGGCUAACUACGUGCCAGCAGCCGCGGUAAUACGUAGGGGGCAAGCGUUAUCCGGAUUUACUGGGUGUAAAGGGAGCGUAGACGGCAAGGCAAGUCUGGAGUGAAAGCCCGUGGCCCAACCACGGGACUGCUUUGGAAACUGUGUUGCUGGAGUGCAGGAGGGGUAAGCGGAAUUCCUAGUGUAGCGGUGAAAUGCGUAGAUAUUAGGAGGAACACCGGUGGCGAAGGCGGCUUACUGGACUGUAACUGACGUUGAGGCUCGAAGGCGUGGGGAGCAAACAGGAUUAGAUACCCGAGUA
Molecule: ribosomal RNA, 444 nt
Filed under: uncultured bacterium
Lineage: Bacteria
Description: bacterial SSU rRNA
Rfam family: Bacterial small subunit ribosomal RNA
Source: RNAcentral